RNAcentral lists this ribosomal RNA (305 nucleotides) under uncultured bacterium. Its description in RNAcentral is "bacterial SSU rRNA". It matches the Rfam family "Bacterial small subunit ribosomal RNA", at positions 335 to 639 of the family's 1533-position model. The record is from RNAcentral.
GUCCUACGGGCGCAGCAGUGAGGAAUAUUGGUCAAUGGGAGAGAUCCUGAACCAGCCAAGCCGCGUGGGGGAAGACGGCCCUAUGGGUUGUAAACCUCUUUUGUCGGAGAACAAAACCCGGGACGUGUCCCGGACUGCGUGUAUCCGAAGAAAAAGCAUCGGCUAACUCCGUGCCAGCAGCCGCGGUAAUACGGAGGAUCCGAGCGUUAUCCGGAUUUAUUGGGUUUAAAGGGAGCGUAGGUGGAUUGUUAAGUCAGUUGUGAAAGUUUGCGUCUCAACCGUCAAAUUGCAGUUGAAACUGUCAG